Molecule: transfer RNA, 71 nt
Filed under: Caudoviricetes sp.
Lineage: Duplodnaviria; Heunggongvirae; Uroviricota; Caudoviricetes
Description: tRNA-OTHER
Rfam family: tRNA
About the family: Transfer RNA (tRNA) molecules are approximately 80 nucleotides in length. Their secondary structure includes four short double-helical elements and three loops (D, anti-codon, and T loops).
Source: RNAcentral
GCUGGUAUAGCUCAGUUGGAGAGCGUCUGCUUACGGGCAGAAGGAUUUCGGUUCGAGUCCGGUUGCCAGCU